Molecule: long non-coding RNA, 1734 nt
Organism: Mustela erminea (ermine)
Lineage: Eukaryota; Metazoa; Chordata; Mammalia; Carnivora; Mustelidae
Exons: 3
Source: RefSeq, a predicted model, not a curated record
CUGGAAGUCUCCACACCAGAUGGGGAGAGCAUGGAGGUCUUCACACCAGAUGGGGAGAACAUGGAGGUCUUCAUACUAGAUGGGGCAGCAGAUGUUCAUGAGAUGCUGUGUCAGGGAUCCUGAAAAGCUGACACAGGGCUCUAAGGAGCUCACAGCCUGCAGAAGGAGACAGCCAGACCAACAAUGGGAUCUUUCCUCCCGGAGUGGUGAUGGAAUUUGGAGCCUUCCCCUCUGCAUGGUCAUCGCUGCUGAUCCCUCUCCUGGUGCUGAUGGCCUUGGGCCUGGAGGUGAGCCUGCCGCUGUCGGGGGAAAGGGGUAGUUUUGCUGUGGUGCCUGGGCCACCAGGGCCAGGGAACCACGGGGACGAUGACUCUGGGACUGAGCCCCGAGUGUGUCCAGGAGGCCGCUGAGGCCAGAGCACCUGCCGCCCCUGGACAGGGCCCGGCCCUGGAAAAUACAUGGCACGUCUAGAAGAAGGAAGGCAGCGGAAUCAGGGUUUGCUGGGGUUUGUUUACAUUUGAGAACCCAAGGAUGACAAGCGUCCUGCCUCUUUCCAGGAUGGUGUGGGGGUUGAGGGAGAGGCCACGCACGGGGGUUAGAGGGAUGGCUGGGGGGGGGGGCCUCCUGAUGGGGGCCCCGGGUGCAGACGAAGAACAAUGAGGUUGCUUUGCUUCCUGACCCUGGGCGACUGAACUCGCCUCCAUUCUGCUGAGCACCUCGGCAGAGGGGAAGGACGGCCAUACAGCAGACAUCACGAGCCGCGGGCUCGGAAGCUGGUAUGCGGGCCUGGGGCACCCGGGCGGCCUGGCCUCCUGCCCACGGUUCCUGCGGCCUCGCAGCCUCGCUGGCCGAGGAUCAAACGACACAGACGCGGCUCGGCCGGCAGAGCUGUGGGCAGGGGCCUUCUCCAUGUCCCCGGCCCUCAAACAUGAAAGCAAGCUCCGGAGUGUCAGAAACUCACCACAGAUCAAUAUUUCUCCGCGAUAAGCUGCCUCAUGCCAGUGAGGUAAGAACAUUCCAAGGCACCCAGGCCUUUCUCCAAGCAGGAAGGGGUGGUUUUUACAUUUCGUCCACCUCCGCAUUUCUCGGAAGCUGAAGGACUGUGCUUAGUAGAGGGGAGGAGGCGUGAAUGUCUCCUGGAGCAUCACAGUUUAGGGCGCGGCCAGCAGGGACCGCGGGAGCUGGAGGACACCUCCGAGCCUGUCCCCUGUCCCGUGGGGUCUGACGUUGGUUCAACUCUGCCCGCCCUGCUCCCUGUCAGCUCCGCGAGGCACAUGCUGCUUCCUGGGGAAUCUGCCCCCAGGCGUAUGGCUGGCCUUCAGGGACACAAGCUCGGAUUUGCUUUCUUCUGGCGUGGUGCUUCUGAGCACCCGUUGGUGGGCUUGCGGGCUGCAGCCGCCCGCAGGUGAGGUGUUGAAGAGGAGAGGGGGAGGGCUGCACCUGCGGGGGGAGGGGGUGCCCUGGGAGGCAGUGAGCACACCCGGAGGGGGCCCAGGACCGAUCCAUCCCGGACAGGAUCCACAGCAGAAAGCAGGGACUCCCUCCCAGGCAGAGACAUCAGCAGACCUUGGCUUGGGCUCUGCAGUAUUUUUCUUGGGGAUUGUCAGGGGAAGAUCUUUGUAAACGAUGUGGACUGAGUAGGCGGCAUCUGGCAGAUACUGUAGGGCUUUCUGGGCAAGAGUUCAGUGGAGGGAGGUUAUGGGGUCUGAGAGGGGCCCCUGGCUCCCUGAUCUG